Molecule: ribosomal RNA, 1386 nt
Filed under: Triticum aestivum (bread wheat)
Lineage: Eukaryota; Viridiplantae; Streptophyta; Magnoliopsida; Poales; Poaceae
Description: partial small subunit ribosomal RNA
Source: RNAcentral
AUGGCAGCAAGCUUAGCCACCACCCCUGCAGCUGCCAAGGUGAUGCCAUCUGCAGCACCAAUUGUCAGUCAAACAGUAAGGAAGUCACUGUCAUACAAGGAAGUGGCAAUAGCUGCACCAGGAACUCUUGCCAAAGCGUUGAAUGAUGUGCAUACAAAGCAAAAGGAUGCAACUGAUCCAGCUGUAAAUCUUGAAAGUGCCAAGGCUCCCAAAGAAAGCAAUGUUCGCCCUUCUGAAGAGAAAAAUGGGGCAAUACAAGUGUCACCAAAGGAUAAUAAUUUGCAAGUAUCAAAAGCAACUGAUGAGCACAAAUCUCCCAGUUCUGAUACUGAACAAGCCAAUGGUUCGGUAGGAUCAAAUCAAGCUGAGAAGGCCUCAGAUUCAGCAGAGACAUCUACAGAGAAGAACCAAUCACCAGCAGCACUAGCGGACCUCCCAAAUGAAGAAGCAGCAACUUUGACUGAGGCAAAUGAUUCUUCCUCCAAUGAUGAUGAAAGAGGUCCAGGAGAGGAUAAUCAAGAACAGCUGUCUAGUGGGGCCGAAAAUGAGAAAUCUUCACCAUCUGGAAGUGAAAAGAAUGAUUCACCAGUAGAAGGUGCGAAAGAGACAGCCAGUAAACUUAAUGCUGCCGCUGCUCCAUUCAGUCCAGCCACCGUGCCAGCUUUUGGUUCAAUGGUCGUACCAGGUUUCAGAGAACACGCGGGACUAUUGCCAUCGCCAGCCAAUGUGCCCCCAAUGCUGGCCAUCCCUCUCCGUAAGCACCCUCACCAGUCUGCAACUGCAAGGGUCCCUUGUGGUCCACGUCUAGCCGGAGGGUUCAACAGAUCAGGGCACCGAGUGCCUCGUAACAAGCCUGUGUUGCCGAGUGGUGAAGUUCUUCCAGAGGCAGCCACAUCCCCUAAAGUGAUGAAUCCUCAUGCAGCGGAGUUUGUGCCGGGUCAAUCUCGUAGUCCUGAUGGCCAUCCAUCAUCUCCUAAUGAACCUCUGGCAUCGCCAGCUGGUAUUCAAGCAUCACAGGAUGGGCUUCCAUCAUCUCCAGAUAGUACUGUCGAGUCACCCAAGACUGCUUCCCCACAAGUGUCUGAAACUAGUGAGACUAGUCCUGAAGGAAAUGAUACAUCUAGUGGAAUUGAUGUUGAAGCUGAGGCUGAGAGCAAGAACACAGAGGAGAAGAACAACCAUGUGGAAUGUGAGGACAGUGAAGUGAAGCCUGAUGAAACUAUAGUUUCUGGAGGUGCUGAAGUUGAUGCAACAGCCCCAAUAGAUGCUCAAUAUGAUGCUUCAGCCCCAAAAUAUGCUCCAGAUGAUUCAAGCGUGACUGAAAAGCCAAAGUCCUGGGCUGAUUACAGUGAUGGAGAAGUCGAGGCCGUUCAGGUUGCGAGCUGA